AUGGGGUGUAGACUGGGACAAUGUGUGUCUGUCGAAGAAGCAGAGAGCCUCGCAUUGCUGCAUGGACUGAAAACUUUGGCAAAUUAUCAUAAUGGUCCAAUUCAUGUGGAGCUUGACUGCAUGACCCUGGUGAAGGCGAUCAGCCCAGACACAGCAAACCAGUCGCGGCUAUUCCCGAUCAUAGCUGACAUCAAGCUAGCAUUGAGCUCUUUUCAAUCAUAUCUGAUCGAGUGGGUGCGGAGGGACAGGAACAAACUUGCACAUGGCCUAGCAGCCCUUGCAUCUAGGAUGGGCGAUCUGUUCAAAGUGGCCGGCGUGCCAGAUGAGAUGAGCGAAGCUUUGAGGAAAGACUGUAAUCAGACUGUUUGA
This 369-nucleotide ribosomal RNA is filed under the name Triticum aestivum (bread wheat). RNAcentral's name for it is "partial small subunit ribosomal RNA". Lineage: Eukaryota; Viridiplantae; Streptophyta; Magnoliopsida; Poales; Poaceae. The record is from RNAcentral.